UGUGACUUAAGCACGCUUUACUCACUGGGUGCGAGAAAUUCAAAGCAAGAUGAGAAGAGAAAGAAAAGUGAAACUCGUAGACACAUAAAACGAGGAGGAGCACAGGAAUGAGGAAAGCGUGUAAAUAAGCACCUGUAUCUCAUGAUGCCCUCCUGUAACUCUGUUAGCCGACUAACAUCCUUCAAGGCUUUCCUGAUUCUGGUAUCCAGCUUUCUUCUUCUUCAUGACGGGCAUUCUUGAUAUUCAGGAUUUCUGCUGAGGGGGCUCAGUGACUAAUUUGCUGGACCUGGAUGCCCAAGGCUCUUUCAUAACCACGACACUGCUUCAGCGACAGGCAGGAUUCACAUGUUUGCAUCAUCCUUGCACACUACUGUGUCACUGUUUCCUGAUAGGGAGGUACAUUUAGCAUUGCUUUCAUAUCCUCCUGAGAACCAGCUUGUUCAUUUAUUUCCUCUGCAAUGGACAUUUGUUUUUAGUCUAUGUCUUUUGACUCAUUUGAGAUAUCUUACUAUCUCCUGAUCUACUAAAUAGAGGCCAUCCCGGGAUUUCCAUUGAUGCCUGAUGUGUUUGGGUGGUUUCUUAUAGCUUCAAAGAGGAAGGAAAUCAUAAAAAAAGUUCAAUGGAAAGAUUCUUUUGUACUCGGUUCUGAGGACGAUAUAUCCACAUGAGUCAUUGUAUGGAAGUUCAUUCAAUCCAUCAUAUUAAGCCUUUUAUAUUAUUUUCUGAUUUUUUGAUGCUGAUUUUCUACAAAGUGAAACUUCAUAAGUCUGUACAGGUUUUGCUUUGUGUAGCCACAUGUGGAGUUUCUGUGCAUUGUAGGCAUGUUAAUGAUUAAAUGCUGCACAUCUUUCUUUGCUCAUUGUCCAUUAAAUGUUGGCUGCCUCACCUGCUUGGCUGUCUGAAUCCCACACGUCACGCCACAAAUCACGCUUGUUUUCUCAUGAGUAAUUAGUUUUGGCUGUCACUGUCACUUGUUACUGUCAUUACUGCAGUCCAAUCAUCUUCUUGCCUGCCUUCUUCGAACCAUCAGCCUUCGUGUCGCAUGGUUUAAAUCUGUGCUCUCCAUCAUUUUCAUGGAUUGUAGUUGCAGGGCUUCUCCUUCAUCUACAUAAUCUGGACUGGACAGGUGACUAAUGAUGUCAUUUAUAUCUGUAGUGUGUGCUACAGCCCUGAGCAUCAUUUGAGAAAUGUUGAUACUGAACAGCAUAAGCAGUUUAGUUACUCAGAUAUCAGUAAAGUCUGUGAUGCUCUGUGUUUAAUGUAUAACCCCAAUUUAAAAAAAAUGUUGACAGACUAUGUAAAAUGUAAAUAAAAACAGACUGCGAUGAUUUUCCCACAUUUUAUGCUCAGCAAAACACAGAAAACACAUCAGAUGUGUAAACUGAGAAAAACUGAUAGUUUUGAGUAAAGAGCAUCAUGACUGUCUCAAAAAUGUUGGUACAGAGUCGUGUUUGCCACUGUGAAACAUUCCCUCAUCUUUUAACAAGUCUGUAAACAUGUGACAAGAGUAGCUGCUAGAUUUUUUUUGUGAUAUUGGAUUCUAACUGUUCAUUUGUCAUUGUGGCUGUAAUAGCUGCAGCAUGCAGUUUAGUAUACUGUAACAUAAAAGGCCUUCCCUGAAAAAUAUGCUGCUGUAAUAACUGUAUAUAUUUUUCAGCAUUGCUGGGGCCUUUCCACCUACUAGAACUUGUGCUUUUAUAGAAGUACCAUCUCUUUUGAAAAGCAAAAUAUUUUAUAGAAGGUACACAAACGUGUCUGAUAAGUAGUUAAAUAUUUCAGUGAAAAAUACAGUUUUAUAAUUAGCAAAACAUCACAACACAAAACUCAAUGUGCUUUAUUUCAGAGAUGUAUUUAUUUGAAUUGCAACAUCAUCUUCCUCUGCUGCUUCUGUCUACUGAGGAGAUGAGAAUCUGCCAAAGAACAGGAUGGACUUGGUCUUAUUGUGUCUGAUGAAGAAGAGGAAGGGGUGAUCUGCUCUGAAGUGUGUGUCCGGUAUAUAACAACAAGCGGUGAUCACAGCACCUGUGGCUGCAGCGGCCUCUGUGCCCUCCUCAUUCACCUCCACAAAGGCCUUGUGGGCCACCGUAGACAGGAAGAGCCCCCCUUCA
Long non-coding RNA from Oreochromis niloticus (Nile tilapia), 2108 nucleotides. RefSeq lists it as uncharacterized. The record is from RefSeq and is a predicted model, not a curated record. Lineage: Eukaryota; Metazoa; Chordata; Actinopteri; Cichliformes; Cichlidae. The transcript is spliced from 3 exons.